GACCUGAUGGUGUAGUGGUAACAUGCCUGCUCAAGUUCUCUGAUCGUUGUAGUAGACAUAUAUGCAGGAGGUCCCUCGUUCGAAUCGGGGUCAGGUCA
Mycena leptocephala is the source of this 98-nucleotide non-coding RNA. The record is from the annotation of a GenBank genome assembly. NCBI's taxonomy places the organism in Eukaryota, Fungi, Basidiomycota, Agaricomycetes, Agaricales, Mycenaceae.